AUAACUGCAAUCAAUGCGCUCAGGGAAGUAGAGGAGAUAUAUAAGUGUACUUAAAUGACAGCCUCUCACAAGUGCAGAUUUAGCUCAUUUAGCUGGAGAAAUCCGUGAGACAGUCUAGGAAUCAGGUGAUUAACAGGCAAGGGGCAGGAAAUCUGCCACUGAGAUAGACAGUGACAUUUAUGCAGCCUGUUUUAGGGCGGUUUUAGGCUGUGAGCAUUUAAAUAAAACCCACUCUCCUUUCUCCUCCUUUCCAAAGCCCUCCCCAGCGAUUGAAAUUAACCGGGAGGGAGGAGAGAGAAACAACGAGAGAGGCAGAGAAGAGGGCAGCCACCUUGACACAGACAGACCCACCCCGAGAGAGGAUCAGUGUCUUGUAAUGUGAAGGGACAACCGAAGAUGUGGAAAGUAAAAGGGAUCCUGAACAUGGGAGGAGAGGAGCGCCCACACCCAGACCACCACGGCAGGGGGUGUUGGUGGGUUUGAAGCUUGUUCAGUGCUGAUCACUGCCAAAGCCCUGACAGACAGCUGGAAAGGAGUCAACACCACCCCAUCACCACCACCACCACCACUUCCUCCAGAUCAACUGAGAGCAAAGCAGCAGUACCACAGGGCACAGACUCGAGAUGAGUGUCAGGAUUUUACUUUAUGUGCCUAAUAUCAUUGGUUAUAUCAGGAUACUCCUACUACUGGUCGGUUGGUGGUAUUUCCAUUAUCCUCCCAUUUUCGUCUUCUGCUACGUGCUUUCCAUUACACUCGACGGUGAGUACAGCUCUCAUCCUCAGAGGAAUGCAAUACAGUCAAUGGAAAGUAACCUGAACGAGUCAGGUCUUUUUAUAGAAUGAUAGAAAU
Long non-coding RNA from Callorhinchus milii (elephant shark), 849 nucleotides. RefSeq lists it as uncharacterized. The transcript has 4 exons. Lineage: Eukaryota; Metazoa; Chordata; Chondrichthyes; Chimaeriformes; Callorhinchidae. The record is from RefSeq and is a predicted model, not a curated record.